UGCAUUCGUGUGUACCCUGCAUGUGUGUAUGUGCUGUGUGUGCAUUCGUGUGUACUGUGCAUCUGUGUGCUGUGUGUGCAUUCAUGUGUACUGUGCAUCUGUGUGUGUGCUGUGUGUGCAUUCAUGUGUACCCUGCAUCUGUGUGUGUGCUGUCUGUGCAUCCGUGUGUACCAUGCAUCUGUGUGUGCAUUCAUGUGUACUGUGCAUCUGUGUGUGCUGUG
RNAcentral lists this long non-coding RNA (221 nucleotides) under Homo sapiens (human). Its description in RNAcentral is "long non-coding RNA NONHSAT199631". The record is from RNAcentral. Lineage: Eukaryota; Metazoa; Chordata; Mammalia; Primates; Hominidae.